This 468-nucleotide ribosomal RNA is filed under the name uncultured bacterium. RNAcentral describes it as "partial 16S ribosomal RNA". It matches the Rfam family "Bacterial small subunit ribosomal RNA", at positions 28 to 507 of the family's 1533-position model. The record is from RNAcentral.
GAUGAACGCUGGCGGCGUGCUUAACACAUGCAAGUCGAACGGAAAGGCCGAAGCUUGCUUCGGUACUCGAGUGGCGAACGGGUGAGUAACACGUGGGUGAUCUGCGCUGUACUUCGGGAUAAGCUUGGGAAACUGGGUCUAAUACCGGAUAUGACGAUCUCUUGGAUGGGGUUGUGGAAAGCUUUUGCGGUAUGGGAUGAGCUCGCGGCCUAUCAGCUUGUUGGUGGGGUAAUGGCCUACCAAGGCGUCGACGGGUAGCCGGCCUGAGAGGGUGUACGGCCACAUUGGGACUGAGAUACGGCCCAGACUCCUACGGGAGGCAGCAGUGGGGAAUAUUGCACAAUGGGCGCAAGCCUGAUGCAGCGACGCCGCGUGGGGGAUGACGGCCUUCGGGUUGUAAACUCCUUUCGCAAUCGACGAAGCCUUUUGGUGACGGUAGGUUGAGAAGAAGCACCGGCUAACUACGUG